RNAcentral lists this ribosomal RNA (253 nucleotides) under uncultured bacterium. Its description in RNAcentral is "partial 16S ribosomal RNA". It matches the Rfam family "Bacterial small subunit ribosomal RNA", at positions 524 to 776 of the family's 1533-position model. The record is from RNAcentral.
UACGUAGGUGGCAAGCGUUGUCCGGAUUUACUGGGCGUAAAGAGCGCGCAGGCGGUCAUUCAAGUCGCGUGUGAAAGCCCCCGGCUCAACUGGGGAGGGUCACGCGAUACUGAUCGACUCGAAGGCAGGAGAGGGUAGUGGAAUUCCCGGUGUAGUGGUGAAAUGCGUAGAUAUCGGGAGGAACACCAGUGGCGAAGGCGACUACCUGGCCUGUUCUUGACGCUGAGGCGCGAAAGCGUGGGGAGCGAACAGG